UAUUUUUAACAAAUUUACAUGAAAAUAAUCCCUUCAAAACAAACAGGAAGGAGCAGGACUUAUAUUCUCCCAAUUCAGUAAUGUAAACUCAUGUAAGUAUUGUACCCAAAAAACCAAACUUCUGAACUACUUUUUGACCCUUGUUCUUGGAAAACAGUUUCAUUUUAAUUUUUAGCUAAAAGAACGGCUAUCUUAAUUUUCAUCCCGAAAAAAAAUCCCCUGAUGAUACAUACAUGAAAAGACCCAAAAGUUAAACCAGCUAAUUACCAUAUGUUGCUUGGACUUGCGUUCAAC
This 294-nucleotide unclassified non-coding RNA is filed under the name Hevea brasiliensis (rubber tree). Lineage: Eukaryota; Viridiplantae; Streptophyta; Magnoliopsida; Malpighiales; Euphorbiaceae. The record is from RNAcentral.